This 131-nucleotide microRNA precursor is filed under the name Pelobates cultripes (western spadefoot toad). Lineage: Eukaryota; Metazoa; Chordata; Amphibia; Anura; Pelobatidae. The record is from RNAcentral.
UGACAGAGUUAGUGAGGGAGUGACUAGUGACAGAGAGAGGGAUGGGGUGACUAGUGACAGUCACCCCCCCUCACUCUGUCACCAGUCAUCCCCUCUCUCUGUCACUAGUCACCCCUUCCCUCCCUCACUUU